GGCAAUAGCUCAAAUUUGAAAUCUGGCACUUUCAGUGUCCGAGUUGUAAUUUGAAGAAGGUAUCUUUGGGUCUAGCUCUUGUCUAUGUUUCUUGGAACAGAACGUCACAGAGGGUGAGAAUCCCGUGCGAUGAGAUGUCUAGAUCUAUGUAAAGUUCCUUCGAAGAGUCGAGUUGUUUGGGAAUGCAGCUCUAAGUGGGUGGUAAAUUCCAUCUAAAGCUAAAUAUUGGCGAGAGACCGAUAGCGAACAAGUACAGUGAUGGAAAGAUGAAAAGAACUUUGAAAAGAGAGUGAAAAAGUACGUGAAAUUGUUGAAAGGGAAGGGCUUGAGAUCAGACUUGGUAUUUUGUAUGUUACUCUCUCGGGGGUGGCCUCUACAGUUUACCGGGCCAGCAUCAGUUUGAGCGGUAGGAGAAUUGCGUAGGAAUGUGGCUCGGCCUCGGUCGAGUGUUAUAGCCUUCGUCGAUACUGCCAGCUUAGACUGAGGACUGCGGCUUCGGCCUAGGAUGUUGGCAUAAUGAUCUUAAGUCGCCCGUCUUGAAA
This 542-nucleotide ribosomal RNA is filed under the name Lodderomyces elongisporus. Its description in RNAcentral is "eukaryotic LSU rRNA". It matches the Rfam family "Eukaryotic large subunit ribosomal RNA", at positions 100 to 659 of the family's 3401-position model. Lineage: Eukaryota; Fungi; Ascomycota; Pichiomycetes; Serinales; Debaryomycetaceae. The record is from RNAcentral.